This 451-nucleotide ribosomal RNA is filed under the name uncultured bacterium. Its description in RNAcentral is "bacterial SSU rRNA". It matches the Rfam family "Bacterial small subunit ribosomal RNA", at positions 28 to 476 of the family's 1533-position model. The record is from RNAcentral.
GACGAACGCUGGCGGCGUGCCUAACACAUGCAAGUCGAACGGAACUGUUUUGAAAGAUUUCUUCGGAAUGAAUUUGAUUUAGUUUAGUGGCGGACGGGUGAGUAACGCGUGAGUAACCUGCCUUCAAGAGGGGGAUAACAUUCUGAAAAGAAUGCUAAUACCGCAUGACAUAUCGGAAUCACAUGAUUUUGAUAUCAAAGAUUUUAUCGCUUGAAGAUGGACUCGCGUCCGAUUAGUUAGUUGGUGAGGUAACGGCUCACCAAGACCGCGAUCGGUAGCCGGACUGAGAGGUUGAACGGCCACAUUGGGACUGAGACACGGCCCAGACUCCUACGGGAGGCAGCAGUGGGGGAUAUUGCGCAAUGGGGGCAACCCUGACGCAGCAACGCCGCGUGAAGGAUGAAGGUUUUCGGAUUGUAAACUUCUUUUAUUAAGGACGAAACUUGACGGU